AGCAGGUUGGCGCAGUGGUAGCGCGGUGGGCCCAUAACCCACAGGUCGCAUGAUCGAAACAUGCACCUGCUA
Molecule: transfer RNA, 72 nt
Filed under: Aureococcus anophagefferens
Lineage: Eukaryota; Pelagophyceae; Pelagomonadales; Pelagomonadaceae
Rfam family: tRNA
About the family: Transfer RNA (tRNA) molecules are approximately 80 nucleotides in length. Their secondary structure includes four short double-helical elements and three loops (D, anti-codon, and T loops).
Source: Rfam by way of RNAcentral